UAUACAUGAAAGCAGAUGGCGGCACUAAUCAAUUCGGCUGCUAGUCAGAUGCCAAGUAAAAAAAUGGCGGACUGCGAGAAGGAGGAGGCGCACAAUCUCCAAAUGGAGUUUGAGUGGGUGCUUCGUGAGGAAGUGCACUCUUCGCUAUCGCAGCUUAAAAAUAUAUUAAUAGAGUGUGCUCAGCGAUUUCCAUUGACACUCUUCGGUAAUGAUCAACAUAAUAAAACUGACAGAUUUGUGUUUGCGGCUGCACACGAUCAAGUCAAGUGUGUUGCCGUUCUCACCGGCGACAGUAUUACAAAUGCGGAAGUAAAUUUUAAAGUACAGCGACAACAAAACAUAAAUAUGAGAACAAGUAUUCAAAACGAACAUCCAUGGAAGUUACAACAGAUACAAGAUGCUGCUAACCAUUUGCAACAAGCCAUUGCCCAUAUAGACAAUGUGGACAGGCAUUACCUUUUUAAGACUUCAGAUGAAGUCAUGCAUGUUCUAGGUAAUAUUUUGGGUUGUCUCCAAAGGAGCAGAACCAGUUUAAUUGUCCCUAGAAAGAAACCAAUGGACGAUCUUAUUAAGAGUCGAAAUAUGAAAUCUCUUAAUCCGAACCUCCCAGAGAAUCUGGCCAUUAGUUUUUAUAUUCAAAGCUACAAACUGGUCUUAGCAGUUUAUCAAUUAGAGAAUGCUCAUGGCAGUGUUAAAUAUGAAACACAACAGGCAGAAUGCAGCGUGCCAUGGCUAAAUGAUGCUCUUGUUCUGCUUACUAUCGCGCUACAACUUUGUCAACGACUAAAAGAUAAGAUAUGCGUUUUCUCCCAAUAUAAAGAUUUUACAGUAGGUUCUCGUGUUCCUUCAGUGCUGGGCUGAUAAUCUAAGGAAAUUUAUGCGUUUGAAAUGGAACUUGAUACAUACAGGAUGGUGCUAUGUGCAAGUGAAGAAUUUUGGCCUCAAUUGGUAACACUUGCCUUGGCCUUUGUUUCUACAUAUGUUAAUUGUUUCCUUCUCGUCGUAUGUCUCAUCGCAUACUCUCAUUACAUAACUAGAAUGUUAUUGUAGAGUUUAUAAUGGUAAUUACAGCGUGCGCCUAGUUAAAGCGAUAUAUAUCGUGUUCUGUAAUAUGUUAGUUAAACUCAAACGUCGGAUCAAACACACGGGCCAGAAAUGGAAGACUUAUAAGCAUUUUGCCAAUUACUGGGGUGCCUACCACCAUGUUGUAUUAUGUUCUCCCCUUUUCUGUGGCAAUUCUGAUGAACAUUCGAGCCUUUAACCUUAGAUCAAAUUUGGACUUGUUUCGUCUACGAGUUGAUAGAGUGGUAUUUAAUAAGUCUGCUGUGAUUUUAGAAAUCUACACUGUAAUCCUCUCCUUACUGGACUAGUACAUAUUUUUAUGUAUUAAUCGCUAUGAAUUUUAUCUUAUUGCGUUAUUUAUUAAUUGUAUAGUCAUUGUGUAUUAUAAUUCCUAACUAUAUUUUUAACUAUAUUUUAUUUAUUUCCGCAAAUACAUCUGGUCAUAUAAUUCUUCAAAAAUAUCUGUGAAUAUAAAAAUUCAGAUGCAAUAAUUCAAAUCGAUACCUUUCUCGUAACAAUAAAAUGUGCUAACUCGAAGUUAACUAUUAUGUGUAUAGUUCUAGAACACACAUACACACAUGCUAUC
This 1648-nucleotide unclassified non-coding RNA is filed under the name Harpegnathos saltator (Jerdon's jumping ant). RNAcentral's name for it is "protein rogdi, transcript variant X1". Lineage: Eukaryota; Metazoa; Arthropoda; Insecta; Hymenoptera; Formicidae. The record is from RNAcentral.